ACACAAAUAGUGAUUUUCUUAUUUGACGAACUAGUGUUGUUGCUCAUCCAUUCCCAGAACGAUUCUGGAAAAAUCUAGAACUCCUCGAAUAUCGUUAUAAUCGUCGUAUUCGUUUAUUGUGACACGUCGAUACACUUGACAGAUUAUUUUGACAUUUUAUUGUCCCUUCAACAUCUGAAAAAUGUCUCUCUUUGGUGGAAUGCUGGGAGAUCUUGAAGAUGACCCUAUUUUUGGGUCGUACAUGCAAUCCAUGCAACACAUGAACAGCAUGAUGAACUCACUGUUUAGCAGCCCUUUUGGGAUGACGGGACCAGCUCUGAUGGGGCCUGAGCCUCGUGGAGGUUCUCGUCACAACCAGAUGAUGCCCUUUGGAUUUGGAAUGCCAGGAUUCAACAUGAAUAAUAUGUUUUCGCAGUUUGAUAAUAUGGCUCAGGUUCCAAGCUCUCACGGAAUGUCCUCCACUUCUAUCAUGACAUACACCAGUGGCCCAGAUGGUCGUCCACAGGUGUAUCAGGCCUCCAGAUCAACUCGAGCUGCUCCAGGAGGAAUUCAAGAGACUCAAGAGACUGUUUACGACUCUCGUUCUGGUACCAAGAAAAUGGCCAUCGGACAUCACAUCGGAGACAGGGCACACGUCAUCGAGAAACAAAAGAAUCUGAAUAAUGGAGAUGAAGAAGAGCAUCAUGAGUUCAUUAAUCUCGAUGAGGAGGAAGCUGGCUCAUUCAACCAGGAAUGGGAGCAACGUACCAGAGGUGGGCGUGGAAAUCGUAGCGACCGUGCCCUCGAGCAUGGCUCACAACACAGAAAACGCUCUGAGCCAAGGCGUCUGGCCCUGACAGACGGUACUUCAAGUAGUCGUCAAAGUAGUCGUUCAAGGUGGGCCCCAUCUACGAGGCGAAGCAUAAGACCUAGUAGCAAUAUUGGUAGCUCCUCCAGGUACUCCCCAAAGUAUUAAUUAGAAAAAAUGAAUUUUAUGAAGAAAGUGGUGACGUUUGCGAGCAACGUAAUAAUGCAGAUGGAGAAACAAGACCAAAAACACCGGAGGCAUCGAGCAGUCGUAAACGCGAGCACGAUGUUGAGACUGAGACAACUCAUAAACGCCACAUGUCUAAUAGUCAUGAUUAGUAACAUCAGCUGACGUUAAUGGAGUCUCGAUAAUAAAUUCAAUGGCUCGAACUAAAAUAAAUGUGAAAGCUUUACAAUAUUACAAUCGCCACUUGGCGUUAUUUAUAUUCUCCAGUACAAGUAUUUCCAUGAAUAUCAAAUGUAGUUAUUGUCGAUGAACAUAGUCCAUUGGCGUCUUCAGUAUCUGUCGAUGCUUUUAGGGAGAUAACAGAUCAAUUAUGUUUCUGUGGAUUAUUAAUGAAUAUUUGAAAAAUAACAUAAAAUAGAAAACUCGUAAGUUAGUGUAUAUUUUUGACCGAGGCUCCGUUAUAUCUGGAUGAGGCUGAAUUAUUAGAUAAAUUAAUCUUUGAUUGAAGACUUGAAAAUGGAAAUUAAGUAUAGGAAUUUACUUUCCUCCCACUUGUAAACAUUCGAUGCUCAUUUUUUAAGAAAAUAUAAUUCAUGACAAGUAA
Diachasmimorpha longicaudata is the source of this 1577-nucleotide RNA transcript. It is a transcript of the gene named myeloid leukemia factor, with no coding region annotated. Lineage: Eukaryota; Metazoa; Arthropoda; Insecta; Hymenoptera; Braconidae. The record is from RefSeq and is a predicted model, not a curated record. The transcript is spliced from 7 exons.